GAUGAACGCUAGCUACAGGCUUAACACAUGCAAGUCGAGGGGUAACAAGAGAAAAGCUUGCUUUUCUUGUUGACGACCGGCACACGGGUGAGUAACGCGUAUCCAACCUGCCUAUAACUAGGGAAUAACCUUGCGAAAGUAAGACUAAUACCCUAUGAUUUCCUUUGAUGGCAUCAGAUUAGGAAUAAAGAUUUAUCGGUUAUAGAUGGGGAUGCGUCGGAUUAGCUUGUUGGCGGGGUAACGGCCCACCAAGGCAACGAUCAGUAGGGGUUCUGAGAGGAAGGUCCCCAACAUUGGAACUGAGACACGGUCCAAAAUCCUACGGGAGGCAGCAGUGAGGAAUAUUGGUCAAUGGGCGGAAGCCUGAACCAGACAAGUAGCGUGCAGGAUGACGGCCCUAUGGGUUGUAAACUGCUUUUAUACAUGAAUAAAGUUAGCCACGUGUGGUUAUUUGUAGGUACUGUAUGAAUAAGGACCGGCUAAUUCCGUGCCAGCCGCCGCGGUAA
RNAcentral lists this ribosomal RNA (506 nucleotides) under uncultured bacterium. Its description in RNAcentral is "partial 16S ribosomal RNA". It matches the Rfam family "Bacterial small subunit ribosomal RNA", at positions 28 to 523 of the family's 1533-position model. The record is from RNAcentral.